CCUACGGGUGGCAGCAGUGAGGAAUAUUGGUCAAUGGCCGGAAGGCUGAACCAGCCAUGCCGCGUGAAGGUCAGUGCCCCAUGGGCGUUAAACUUUCUUUUUGCGGGAGCAAUAAUGGUCACGUGUGACCAGACGAGAGUACCGUACGAAUAAGCCUCGGCCAACCACGUGCCAGAAGCCGCGGUAAUACGGGGGAUGCAAGCGUUAUCCGGAUUUAUUGGGUUUAAAGGGGACGUAGGCUGUGAGGUAAGUCAGCGGUGAAAUGCCCCCGCUCAACGGGGUGAAGUGCCAUUGAUACUGCCUUGCUGGAAUGCGGAUGCCGUGGGAGGAAUGUGUGGUGUAGCGGUGAAAUGCAUAGAUAUCACACAGAACACCGAUUGCGAAGGCAUCUCACGAAUCCGCGAUUGACGCUGAUGCACGAAAGCGUGGGUAUCAAACAGGAUUAGAUACCCUUGUAGUC
This 460-nucleotide ribosomal RNA is filed under the name uncultured bacterium. Its description in RNAcentral is "partial 16S ribosomal RNA". It matches the Rfam family "Bacterial small subunit ribosomal RNA", at positions 338 to 795 of the family's 1533-position model. The record is from RNAcentral.